Molecule: long non-coding RNA, 271 nt
Filed under: Elaeis guineensis (African oil palm)
Lineage: Eukaryota; Viridiplantae; Streptophyta; Magnoliopsida; Arecales; Arecaceae
Description: long non-coding RNA (EGUI_LNC000724)
Source: RNAcentral
ACGAAUAGUUUUGUAUUCAUGUAACAUAUAAGAAACCAAAUGAGAUUGAAGCCAUCGUAACAUGGAUAUGUAAAUGCGGCUCAUUUAUUCGGUCCUUGCAAACCAAGAUGGCUGCUCAUUUUUUUUGUGGCUGUGGCUAACUAGUCAUACCCAUCAACGCUAGUACGAUAUGUGAGAUCUUGUGUUUGGCUGCAUGCAGCCGUAUACAGCCAUAGAUGCUGUCAAGGGCCACCUAGCACUAUUUCUAGGACUUACAAAUUACACCCCCGCC